UGGGAAAUCGGGAUCACCCGCCACUCAAUUGCAUGGUUGACCCGAAUUCGACUGGGGCCGGUGGUUCAAGUCCACCCGUAGCCACCA
RNAcentral lists this transfer RNA (87 nucleotides) under Isoalcanivorax pacificus W11-5. Its description in RNAcentral is "tRNA-Und (NNN) (tRNA-Und-NNN-2-1)". The record is from RNAcentral. RNAcentral also lists the same sequence under 1 other name. Lineage: Bacteria; Pseudomonadati; Pseudomonadota; Gammaproteobacteria; Oceanospirillales; Alcanivoracaceae.